GAUGUGGCUCUUUGACGGAUAG
This 22-nucleotide microRNA is filed under the name Rhipicephalus microplus (southern cattle tick). Its description in RNAcentral is "rmi-miR-5323". The record is from miRBase by way of RNAcentral. Lineage: Eukaryota; Metazoa; Arthropoda; Arachnida; Ixodida; Ixodidae.